Prunus dulcis (almond) is the source of this 441-nucleotide long non-coding RNA. RefSeq lists it as uncharacterized. The transcript has 2 exons. The record is from RefSeq and is a predicted model, not a curated record. NCBI's taxonomy places the organism in Eukaryota, Viridiplantae, Streptophyta, Magnoliopsida, Rosales, Rosaceae.
CUUCCAACUAUAAAUUGGAAGCUAGACCUCACUUGCAUUCUCAAGAAUAGGGUUGUAAGUUGGAUUUAAAAUUCUCGAAUCCAACCACUUUCAAUCCUAAAAUCCUCCGAGAUGGCAAAAUCUGUUGGCUCCAGCACCAUAGUUGUUCUGCUAAUAGCUCUCCUUCUCGUUGGUUCCAUGGAAUUGCCAGUGGUUGAAGGAGGAACUAGAGGAUGCAAGCAGGCGAGCAAGUCGAUGACCACCUGCACAGCCCACCCAGAGUGUGACAAACAAUGCAAAGGAGAGAAAGCAAAGAUGGGACUUUGCCGUGCUGAUGGUCCCAAAGGCAAAAAGUGCUGGUGCUACAUGUGUUAACAUGAAUGGGGAUUUUGUAUAACUUUCUCAACAAUAAAAUAGUUCUAAAUUUUUUUAGAGAAAUUAAAACAUCUCUCUCUCUCUCUC